GUAGGUGGCAAGCGUUGUCCGGAAUUAUUGGGCGUAAAGCGCGCGCGGGCGGUUCUUUAAGUCUGAUGUGAAAGCCCACGGCUCAACCGUGGAGGGUCAUUGGAAACUGGAGAACCUGAGUACAGAAGAGGAAAGCGGAAUUCCACGUGUAGCGGUGAAAUGCGUAGAGAUGUGGAGGAACACCAGUGGCGAAGGCGGCUUUCUGGUCUGUAACCGACGCUGAGGCGCGAAAGCGUGGGGAGCAAACAGGGAUUAGAUACCCUGGUAGUCCACGCCGUAAACGAUGAGUGCUAAGUGUUAGGGGGUUUCCCGCCCCUUAGUGCUGCAGCUAACGCAUUAAGCACUCCGCCUGGGGAGUACGGCCGCAAGGCUG
Molecule: ribosomal RNA, 373 nt
Filed under: uncultured organism
Description: partial 16S ribosomal RNA
Rfam family: Bacterial small subunit ribosomal RNA
Source: RNAcentral